GACGAACGCUGGCGGCGUGCUUAACACAUGCAAGUCGAACGAAGAGCGACGGAAGCUUGCUUCUAUCAAUCUUAGUGGCGAACGGGUGAGUAACGCGUAAUCAACCUGCCCUUCAGAGGGGGACAACAGUUGGAAACGACUGCUAAUACCGCAUACGAUCUAAUCUCGGCAUCGAGGAUGGAUGAAAGGUGGCCUCUACAUGUAAGCUAUCACUGAAGGAGGGGAUUGCGUCUGAUUAGCUAGUUGGAGGGGUAACGGCCCACCAAGGCGAUGAUCAGUAGCCGGUCUGAGAGGAUGAACGGCCACAUUGGGACUGAGACACGGCCCAGACUCCUACGGGAGGCAGCAGUGGGGAAUCUUCCGCAAUGGACGAAAGUCUGACGGAGCAACGCCGCGUGAGUGAUGACGGCCUUCGGGUU
Molecule: ribosomal RNA, 419 nt
Filed under: uncultured bacterium
Lineage: Bacteria
Description: bacterial SSU rRNA
Rfam family: Bacterial small subunit ribosomal RNA
Source: RNAcentral